UACGUAGGGCGCGAGCGUUGUCCGGAAUUAUUGGGCGUAAAGAGCUCGUAGGCGGCCGGUUGCGUCUGCUGUGAAAUCCCGGGGCUUAACCCCGGGCGUGCAGUGGAUACGGGCCGGCUGGAGGCAGGCAGGGGAGAAUGGAAUUCCCGGUGUAGCGGUGAAAUGCGCAGAUAUCGGGAGGAACACCGGUGGCGAAGGCGGGUCUCUGGGCCGAUACUGACGCUGAGGAGCGAAAGCGUGGGGAGCAAACAGG
Molecule: ribosomal RNA, 253 nt
Filed under: uncultured bacterium
Lineage: Bacteria
Description: partial 16S ribosomal RNA
Rfam family: Bacterial small subunit ribosomal RNA
Source: RNAcentral